UCCGCCAUUUUGUGUGAGUGUGUGGGGUCGCUCCGCCAUUUUGUGUCAGGCUGUGGGGUCACUCCGCCAUUUUGGCUAAGGGCAUGAUUCACUCAGCCAUUUUGUGACAGCCCAUCGAUCACUCCACCAUUUUGUGUCAGGCCAUGGGGUCACUCCACCAUGUUGUGUGAGAUACUGAAUUCCUCCCAGUGGUAUUCUUUCGUGCAAAUGUGGGUGCUGGAUGUUCCAGAUUCUGCUUCGAAUGCGCUUCAGGAAAUCUGUGAGAAAAGAAAGCAAGAAAAUUCCUUUUAGUAUGUUUUCUAGAGUUUUUAUUUCUUCAGCUAAGGAGAUCUCUGAACAAAGAGCUAUUCCUUUGCUGACUGUUGAUGUGCACUGUACCCAAGUACUGGAGGAAGUACCUGUUGGUUUUCAGUACGUAACACUCCCAGAUUAACGCAGGUUCCUUUUGGCAUCUACCUUUAAACACGGUGAAUAUUCAUCAGUGACAUUCAGGCAAGGUGAGUAAAAUCUGAUUUUCUUCAUACUACAGACACUAUUAAUUAUACAACCAAUGUUAGGUCUCUUUGUCCAAAAGAGAACAUUAGCUCAGAAAGACACCGGGACCUACAACGUGCCGGUUUGCUUUUGAUUUAAUGAACUGUAGUCUCGGGACAGCAGGAACAUUGAUGUUGCCAUUCUCCAUCUUUUAUUUUCUGCUUUCCAAGAACAGACAGAGAAUGUGUAUUCCCAUGGGGUAAAAAAGAGCAUAAGAUUUAAUUUAGCAGUUAAGUAACAGAAGCUCCACUUCAGCAUCCCAUUCUGUUCAGAGGAGUACUCGAUAAUGUACAUAACAUCCUUUCUGUGGAUCUUAAGUCAAGGUCUUGAUGAACUGGAGGAUUUGUGUCAAAGACAGGCCAAUGUAAAAAUACAAAAAUGCUCUCUUUUCCUGCAUUUUGCUUCCUGUUUCCAUCUCUGCCAAGCAAGCUAAUAACAAAAAAUAUAAAUACAGAUAAACACACAAAAGAAGAUAUAAUUAAGUACCUGAAUUUGAAUUAAUGGUGCAUCAAAAGUAUAAGCCAUGAUAUGGUUUAAGUUAUUUCAUAAAUUCCAUUCAUUACAGGUAUAAUCAGGGCAAGGUUGCUGAAGUUUAGCUUGCAACUGAAGUAACAGAACUGAUUAACAACUGUUACUGUGAAUUUCCAUAAGGAAGGGAGAACAGGGUCCUGAAAUGUCAUACCGAUGUAGCCUGAAACAUACUUUUUUAUAAUUCCUUGUAAACAUCAGUGUCUCAGUAAAAGUCAAGUAUUUAAUCACCUGAAAUCAGUGCAGGCCAUGACGUUUGUUGUCGUUCCCUAGAUUUGCUUCAAAAGAUCACUUUUGAGCAUUACUUGGCAAGGACAUCUUUAUUCCUGAUUAAAAGCAGCUUGUUUCUGCUAGUUAAGCUUCUGCUAGUUAAGCUGAGCCGGGAUGGAGCAGCGUGCAGGAGAAAGUCAAAGCCUCACCCUGAGUGUAGGAAUGGUUCUACACCAGCAGUGUGCAGGGCACAGUUUGGAAAUGGACAUCACUAGCAACAGAACAUCUGUAUGCCUUUGCCAAAAUCCAAAGGAAGAGACUAAUUCCUUUCAGAUAACCAAGCUGUGGUUUUUAAGAUGGCUGGAGGAGGGGGAGUGUGGCCCUGUGAGAAGAUGAAGAGCACCAAGCUGUGACUGCUGUCAGGCUUUGAAUAAAGAAAUUGCAUGUUGCUUAAAAGAAGCAUUUUGGGACAGUGAACUGUAUGCCAUUAAAGAAAUGCUUCAUAUAGCAUCAUCUAAUUUUUUUCUAAAGAAGCACAACUUUCAAAGCUCUGAAUAUUGGUAAAACUGGAAGGGCAUAGCUAGUAAUGUCUUACCUUUGGACAACAUUCUGAAGUCUUUCUCACAGCAUACUUCUUUAUAGUAAUUAGUUGCAGUUUUAUUUUGGUUUUCAUCAGCAGUUUCCAUUACAUUUUGUCACUCUGGAUGGAGGGAAUAUAGUUAGUGUUGAUAAAAAGCAUAUUGGGUCAGUGAUGUUGAUCUUUACCAAAUUGUUUAGGCUCUCAAGUGACCCCUAAGCAAUCUCUUAGCAGACCCAUUUCUAAUACAUCUAAAUAAUUGAUCUCUUAUUACUGCCUGGCUGUGGAGGAUUUAUUUGAAAGAAAUCCACAUAGAAGGAUUUGAAAAAGUACAGAGGGAACACAUAGCUCUGGCCUUCAGCCCAGGUGACUUCAGCAUCCUUUGUCUUUAAAUGUGAUUUCUUUGAGGUUUUUACUGCUGCUAGACUUUUUUUCUCUUCUCUUGGCAAGGAAAAAGGCUGCCUGAUUAAUUCUGCUUUCGACAUUGGAUGUGAAAGUCUGCUUAGAAAGCCCCUGUGUGGAAUGGCAGCAGAGAAGAGCAAGAAGUGCCUGCUUUUUGUGAGGAAGGACACGCUGUGCUGCUUCCCCUGCCUCAGCCACAGAGCCCUCACCACCAGACAUUGAAUUCCUUAGCCUGUGAGUGUGCCAACAUCCAGCAGUUACCCCAGUGGAAAAGCCACGUCAGGGACUCCCUUCUGUGUUGUCUCCGGAGACAGAAGACUUCCCAAGCCCUCAGAUCAUCUUGUAAUUCUUCAUGAAUUCAAGACCGUGUGCAUAAUGACAAUGUGUACAGAUUGAGACCAAACACAAAGAACUCCUAGCCCAGGUGCUGCUCUCCAACAAAGCAUUACUCAUCUCACUGCACAUUUUUCAGAGACUUCAGUCAAGUUCCUUGUCAAGUAUCAGUGGAGUAUGAAAAUCACUUAACUGAUUGGACACAGGUAUCAUUUACUCAACAUAUUCAAGAUAAAAGAGAACGAAUAACCUUCUUUGCUCCCUGAGUGGAUUUAACAUCACAAAGAAGGAACAUAUGGUUUCAUCUUUUACUAAGCAGUACCUUGGCACUCCCCAGGAGCAGGCUCUUCCUACUGGCUUGGAAAGCCAUUUUACCUACUGCAAACACAGACAGCCUAUGGAAUAAACAGAGCUUCCAACGAGAUCUGCAGGCCUUGGAGCAGGCUGCAAAGGAGGGAUUGGCAUUGAUAUUAAUGGGAAGGAGAUAUUGCCAUGGUUUGCCAAAAAUGAGACAGAACAUUUUCUUUCCUCCUGAGGGGUGUGCAUUGGAAACAGGCAAAAGGCAAAACAGAGAAUGCCCUGUGUGGAAAGGGUCACAUCCCCCAAGAAACAGAGGCUCAUCCAAGCACUGAAAUACCAGACAGAUGGAGGAACCUUUCAGGGGAAUAUACAGAGGGGAAUACAAGGAGUGAAAAUGGAAGGUGGCUCUUCUCCAGACAUCCAGAGAGAACAUUCUGCCUCCGCUGUGGCUCUCCUCUUUCCAUCCUUCCUAUGAAUUUUAUUUGCUUGCCCACUGGAGAAAAGGAAUAGCAGAAGAAGGCAGCUGUCCUUUGCUUUUUGAUGUACAAGCUGCCCUUGGCAUUUUACAACUUCACAUCUUGCCAAACACAAAACUCCUGAAACCAAGUGCUUUUGGGGUGGUGUGAGUGAUGCUCCUGGUCCUGCUUCCCAAACUGCUCCAAAGCUGCCACAGACAGGGUGGGGACCAAAGCUGAGAUUGGGAAGGUGAUGAGAGAAACAAUACAACCAGAAUCCUGAGAAUUCUCCACAACCUGAAGUAAAGAAGAAAUCUUACAUCAUGGACAAACUCACUUUUCUGCCAAUGAAGAAUGAAUUUAUGCAUGAGCUAUUGUUGUUUAUACUUCCAGGGAUGCUAAAUAACAAAUGCAGAUGAGGGCUGUAUUUUAGCACUUGGGAAACAGCUUUCUGAACCCUUGGGCAGGGCUGUUGAACUAAACACAAAGCUUUUAUCUCUCUGAAUCUCUCAGGGCAUAUUAAUCCUUCACUUAGAGGUUUGUCAGAUGAAAAGCUGCUUGAAUGGUUGGCUAUUUUUUUAAUUGUGUCUCAACUGUAUCGGUGCUGUGUACAGAUGACAUAAAGCCAGAGCCAGGAGUCCCAGCAAGCUCCUGUGAUGCCUCUGGGAUGUGCAGGACCCGACGCUGCCCUCCUGCUGCUGCUGCUGCUGGGAGCAGCGAGGGUGGGGCUGAGCCCAGCCCAGCUCCUGCAGCUUCACCGAGGAGCCCAGCAGUGGGGUCUGGCACCCACAGGGAGGAGUUUGUCUGGGGAGGGUGAGCCAAGCCUUUCUGUGCACGUGGAAUCACUUGGAAUCAUGGCAUGACUGGGGCUGGAGGGACAGCUCAGCUUGUUCCCACCUCUUGCCAUGAGCAGGGACACAUUUCACAGACCAGCCUGCUCCAACCUGGCCUUCUUCCAGGGAUGGGGCAGCCACAGCUU
This is an RNA transcript of Parus major (Great Tit), 4318 nucleotides long. RefSeq lists it as uncharacterized. NCBI's taxonomy places the organism in Eukaryota, Metazoa, Chordata, Aves, Passeriformes, Paridae. The transcript is spliced from 10 exons. The record is from RefSeq and is a predicted model, not a curated record.